RNAcentral lists this long non-coding RNA (1180 nucleotides) under Salmo salar (Atlantic salmon). RNAcentral's name for it is "lncRNA (ENSSSAG00000103684.1)". Lineage: Eukaryota; Metazoa; Chordata; Actinopteri; Salmoniformes; Salmonidae. The record is from RNAcentral.
GUGGCCCCAAAGCUCCAAAGAGAAUGGUUGUUGCCUCCUCCACAUGCUCACCCAAUGUACAAAUUCUGUUGAACCGGAUCAACUGGGAUUUAAUUAUCCCUCUAAAGGUGUCCAAUGUACUGGGUCCCGUGGCAAUGUGUGAAACCUAAGUUUACUGAUCUCAGAUGGUGGAACGUAGCGCCAGGGAAGCUAUCUGCUUGCACUCUAGAAUCGGUAAACCCAGGUAUCCGUGAAAUAUUGGAGUCUCCAAUUAUAACAAUUGGUUUUCUAAUUGUAAGUUCCCAUUCCAAAAUUUUCCUGGUAGAAUUUGGGUGCCUAACUGUUUCAAGGCAGGUGGAUAUAGGCCUCCUGACAGGUAAAUUAAUCACCGGGGUAGAAAAGGAAACCCCCGUGUAGGCCUCAGCUGGUAUAAAUUCCACUGUUUUACUCCGACCUGAACCAAGAGGGGAAGUCCCACGAAGGGAGUAGCAGCCGGGGAACUGGAGCGGCGGCAACGUGGGGCCCUCCUGGGGGCUCAGACAAGGACGUAUUCAGGAAAAGUUCCGUUUUGUCGUCACUUAUCAUUUCUCCCCCCCCCCUCUCGGGUCCCAAGGGCAGCCGCACAUGGGUCCCGCUCCCCUCCAACUCCGGGUUCCUCCUGGCCAGAGUCAGAAGCAAUAGUAUUACUACAUUGUAGGACAACAUUACUGUAUAAGGACCUCUUAGGACUAUGAAGAAGAGCAGGCCUCACCUGUGUUUGUUUCCAAAUAUCCACCCCCCCUGAGACCAACUCUGUGGUUAAUGGAUCUCCAGCAAGAGCUUGGGGUCUAGGGGAAUGUGUUUCAGCCGUAACCAAAAUAGUUUCCCCCCCCGGGGGACCAAAUCCAGCUCUAGAGCUGAUAGACUUGGAGACCUCCUAGGGGGGCUCCUCUUAGGUCUGUUUUUAAACCCACCCUUAACUAACCCACUGGCCGGACUGCUGUUUCCCACUCCCACCACAUUACUGGGAGCUGGAGACAGGACACCCGACAAGAGCGGGAAAAGCCUCCAUGGUCAAUUGGCCUGGACCUACCACCUCACUAGCACUUGCCUUUGGAAGCAUAGCCUGUAACGUUGCCACUGAUGAUUGGGUAAACUUACGUCUAUAUCUUGCCCUUGCCCAAGCAACAGCUCGAUCAAAGGAAUUAAUAUCAAAUCUCCC